AGGUGUUUUUUUUUUGUUGUUGUUGUGGUUUCUUCUAUUAAAACUUGACAAGGGCUUGUUUCAUGACCAUUUCGGAACUGAUAUUUGUGUGGAAUCGUUGUUUACUUUUUGACAGGCACAGUGCUUGGUUUGUUUGAAGACAGCCGGUAUAAGUCUGAGUCAAAGAAACCAUCUCUCAAAUCUGUGGAUAUCAUUGGCUUUGGCACUGGACCUGAACUAGAGGAGAAGCUUAAGUAUGCUGAACAUGUUUCUUAUGGCGUAAUUUUCGGGAAAGAACUUGUUAAUUCUCCAGCCAAUGUUCUCACCCCUGGUAUGGAUUGUUUCUUGAGCAUCAUAGUCUAGAAUUUUCAUUUUUUUUUAUAAAUGUGAGCAUCUUGUAUGUUGAAGUUUAUUUCAAACAUUUGUCUCUAAUCUGCUUUGUAUCUUACAGCCGUACUAGCUGAGGAAGCCUCAAAUCUGGCUUCCAUGUACAGUGAUGUCAUGACUGCAAACAUCUUGAACGAGGAACAAUGCAAAGAGCUGAAGAUGGGUUCAUAUCUUGCUGUAGCUGCUGCUUCAGCUAAUCCACCUCAUUUCAUCCACCUUAUCUACAAACCUUCUAGUGGCCCUGUUAAAACCAAACUUGCUCUUGUUGGGAAAGGAUUGACAUUUGACAGGUACUCACAAGAGCAGUUGUCUUCUGUUAGCCGCAUCAAUCUCUUUCUUCUUAUACUUAUUGGUUUUUGACCACAUGUUGUUUUUUCACAGCGGUGGCUACAACAUUAAGACUGGGCCUGGCUGCUUAAUUGAGCUCAUGAAAUUCGAUAUGGGAGGUUCAGCUGCUGUUCUUGGCGCUGCAAAAGCCAUUGCUCAAAUUAAGCCUCCAGGUGUUGAGGUAAGUUCAUCACACGGAGCUUGAGUUUCUGAGUUAAGUGAAUGUACCUAAACAAAUACUUCUUUGCACAAUCAGGUGCACUUUAUUGUCGCAGCUUGUGAGAAUAUGAUAAGCGGUACUGGAAUGAGACCUGGAGAUGUCAUCACAGCCUCAAACGGAAAGACAAUUGAGGUAUCAUAACACCGUUUCCAUAUGAAUUCAGCUGUAAAAGGUUCGAGCUUUGCAUUGUUAUUUUUACGCCAAACUAAUUGUUGGCGAUGUUGCAGGUCAACAACACCGAUGCUGAAGGUCGACUAACACUUGCAGAUGCUCUAGUUUAUGCUUGCAACCAGGGUGUUGAUAAGGUUUAGUUUGAAAGAUUCUUCCACAUAUCAAUAACAUUCUUUCUGUUGGUUUUUCUCUCAACUUGUGAAUUAUAUAUAUUUGCAGGUUGUUGACCUUGCAACAUUGACUGGGGCUUGUAUUAUUGCUCUUGGAACAUCAAUGGCAGGUACAUAGUCUUGUGUUUAAAAUAGACAGAAUAGCAUUCUUGCAUGAUGAUUGAACGCGGUUUGGAUUUUUGUUUUCUGCAGGCAUAUAUACACCUAGUGAUGAGCUUGCAAAGGAGGUGAUUGCUGCAUCAGAGAGGAGUGGAGAGAAGUUAUGGAGAAUGCCGAUGGAAGAGAGUUACUGGGAGAUGAUGAAGUCAGGUGUGGCAGAUAUGGUUAACACGGGAGGCCGAGCAGGUGGAUCCAUCACCGCAGCUCUCUUCUUGAAACAAGUGAGGAUAUCAUAAGAGUGGAAACAAAAAACACACUUCAAUACUGCAAUAUUGUUCUCUAACGAAGAACCGGGUUUGGUUAAUGGUUGCAGUUUGUGAACGAGAAUGUUGAGUGGAUGCACAUAGAUAUGGCUGGACCAGUGUGGAACGAGAAGAAGAAAGCUGCGACUGGUUUUGGAGUUGCGACACUCGUGGAGUGGGUACAGAAUAAUUCUUCUUCUUAAGAUGAAGCGUGGUGAUCAUUGUGAGUGAUAUGAUUCACUUGUUUUAAAUUUGAUGGAUGUUCUUAUUUUCCAUUCUCAUCGCUGCAAAACAAAUAAAAGUUUGACAUAUCAGAGGUUUUAAUAAAGGUUAUUUUUUUUUUGCUUGUGUGAAGUGUGAAAAGUUUUUUUUUUUUUUUGUGCACCUAAGUAUGACAAGUUAAAUCGUGUAAGAAGAAUGCCUUGGAAUAUUUGAAUUUCUAUAAAUAGUAUCAAAACUAUGUUUUGUAUAAACAACAACUUUAAAUUUGGAGCCAACAAAUAACAGUGGCAAAUUAAGUAUUUCAGAUACGGUUAUCAAGAUAAGUUUUGUAAUAGUGAAUCAUGAUCACAAAAAAAUUUGAAAAGAAGUCUUGAGUCAAGUUAAAAAAUAAUCAUCGUCAACAAGAGAGAAUAAGCACAGUCCGGCGGGCGGACGCGACUGGGUGUGUGUGACUUUUAAUUUUCUUAGAGAUAUAUUAGUUAUUACAAUGCUCCAUGCUAAAUAUAUAUAUCUGCAUUCUUCUUCUUAUAAAUAAUUAUAAAGAAGCUCAGUACACUUCUCAAAUGGCGGUCACUUUGGUAACGUCCUUUACUUCUUCUUCUUCUCGCUUCCAUUUCCGCUCCUUCUCCUCUUCUCCGUCGUCUCUCUCCUCUUGUUUCGUCCGAUUCCAGUCGCCGUCUCGCCUUAAAGUCGCUUUCGCGGUUACGCCUCUCUACUGUUCUUCUAAAGCCAUGUCUCAUACAAUAGCACACGCUACUCUCGGCCUCACUCAGGCUAACUCCGUUGAUCAUCCUAAGGUUUGUUCCUGAUCCACUGAUUUACAAUGUGUUGUUUUAUCGGAUUGUGGUCAAGUAUAGUCGUAGAUUCAAUUAUGGUCAAGCAUAGUCAGAGAUUAGCUUUCGAGUUUGAAUUUUUGUGGUUAACUGGAUUCUGAUUAGCCAAAUUUGUUGGAUCAGAUCUCAUUUUCCGGGAAGGAGAUCGACGUGACGGAAUGGAAAGGUGAUAUACUCGCGGUUGGAGUGAUGGAGAAAGAUAUGACUAAGGAUGCCAACUCCAAGUUCGAAAACCCGAUACUGAAGAAGCUUGAUGCUCACUUGGGUGGACUUUUAGCUGAUGUCUCGUCUGAGGAAGACUUUUCCGGGAAACCUGGCCAGUAUACAGUUCUUAGGCUUCGGGGUCUCGGGUCAAAGCGGGUUGGUUUGAUUGGUCUUGGAAAAUCUGCUUCAUCUCCUUCUGCUUUUCAGAGUCUCGGUGAGGCUGUUGCUGCAGCUGCUAAAGCUUCUCAAGCUAGCAGUGUUGCAGUUGUUCUCGCCUCCUCUGAGAGUGUUUCUAAUGAAUCUAAACUCAGUUCUGCUUCAGCUAUAGCUUCAGGUGUUUGUUUUGUUGUUGUUGUGAUUUCUUCUAUUAAAACUUGAGAAGGGCUUGUUUCAUUACCAUUUUGGAACUGAUCUUUGUGUGGAAUCGUUGUUUACUUUUUGACAGGCACAGUGCUUGGUUUGUUUGAAGACAGCCGGUAUAAGUCUGAGUCAAAGAAACCAUCUCUCAAAUCUGUGGAUAUCAUUGGCUUUGGCACUGGACCUGAACUAGAGGAGAAGCUUAAGUAUGCUGAACAUGUUUCUUAUGGCGUAAUUUUCGGGAAAGAACUUGUUAAUUCUCCAGCCAAUGUUCUCAC
Molecule: long non-coding RNA, 3549 nt
Filed under: Arabidopsis lyrata
Lineage: Eukaryota; Viridiplantae; Streptophyta; Magnoliopsida; Brassicales; Brassicaceae
Description: long non-coding RNA (ALYR_LNC000785)
Source: RNAcentral